RNAcentral lists this ribosomal RNA (492 nucleotides) under uncultured bacterium. RNAcentral's name for it is "partial 16S ribosomal RNA". It matches the Rfam family "Bacterial small subunit ribosomal RNA", at positions 29 to 507 of the family's 1533-position model. The record is from RNAcentral.
AGUGAACGCUGGCGGUAGGCCUAACACAUGCAAGUCGAACGGCAGCACAGUAAGAGCUUGCUCUUACGGGUGGCGAGUGGCGGACGGGUGAGGAAUACAUCGGAAUCUACUUUUUCGUGGGGGAUAACGUAGGGAAACUUACGCUAAUACCGCAUACGACCUACGGGUGAAAGCAGGGGAUCUUCGGACCUUGCGCGAUUGAAUGAGCCGAUGUCGGAUUAGCUAGUUGGCGGGGUAAAGGCACACCAAGGCGACGAUCCGUAGCUGGCCUGAGAGGAUGAUCGGCCACACUGGAACUGAGACACGGUCCAGACUCCUACGGGAGGCAGCAGUAGGGAAUAUUCGACAAUGGGCGCAAGCCUGAUCCAGCCACGCCGCGUGAGUGAUGAAGGCCUUCGGAUCGUAAAGCCCUGUUGUUGGGGAAGAACAGCUGUAUAAUUAACUCCCGCCGUUCUGACGGUACCUAAUGAAUAAGCACCGGCUAACUUCGUG